This is a long non-coding RNA of Acinonyx jubatus (cheetah), 1525 nucleotides long. RefSeq lists it as uncharacterized. NCBI's taxonomy places the organism in Eukaryota, Metazoa, Chordata, Mammalia, Carnivora, Felidae. The record is from RefSeq and is a predicted model, not a curated record. The transcript has 6 exons.
ACCCUCAGCACCUGGAAGCCACUGGAACGAUGGGGUAGAAAAGAUCGCGAUCUCCACUUAGCACGGGGAUUGACCACAUCGGGGAAACGUGUUUCACGUCCGCGGGCACGUCUCCUGGGUUGUCGAGUAAAAUGCGCUUCUGGUGCCAGGGAUUUUCAAGAUGGAAAGCCUCUGCGGAGAGGUUGGCAGUAAGCCUAGAACUGGUAGGGAUAGAGCGCGGAAAGGGACAGGACUCCACAGGCGGAUUUGAAAGGGAGCAACAACUGAGCCAGAGGACAGCACUGCCAUAUGUCCGGUUGAGGUCUGCUGUUGUCACCACCUUACCCUAAACAAUUUGGUGGCAGAGGCCAGAGCAAAGGGCACUUCUGACAGCUUUGGGGACACCAAGAAACAGGCAUAAAACUCUGCAAACACUGAGUUUACUGUCUUUCUCACCAUUUCCAAGGGCCAUGGGUACCUCUGUGAAAAAGGAAGAGAGGUCCACAUCACCCAUAAUGCCUGAACUGAAAAGUAGGAAUACAAGCAUUUAUUUUUAUAGAGGUGAGCCAAAGAACCUAGAAGGAAGAAGGAAAAAUUUUCUUCCCCUGCACAUGGCACUUGAAGCCCUAAGUCAUGUGGCUCCUGCUUGCCUUCAGUGUCCUCUCCAGACCUUCUCUGCUUUUCCUCUUUAUGCCUGGCUUUCUCCCAUUUAACCAUCAGGACUCACUACAGGCUCCACUUUCUUGGGGGGAAGCAAGUCUUUUCUGACCCCAACAGGUACAGGUAAGUGCCUAUCUUUUGGGCUCCUAUAUCACCCUACGUGUAUCUUUAUUAUGAUGCUUACCCACGUUGUAUUACACAUUCUAUCAUAUGUCUGCUCCUGCCAUUCCUCCACUAAAACACUGUAUUUGAGUCAUCUUUGUAUCCCUAACACUUAGCACAGUGCCUGGCCUCUAAUAGGUAACCAAGAACAUUUGUUGAACUGCAUCAAGAAAUCUAUAAGAUGGUACGCUGCUGAUUGAUUUUGUCUAAAUAGAAGAGGAUCCCAUGUAUCAUAUAUAUAUAAAUGAUUAUAACACUAUUUUGUGCGCUCUCCCCUGCCCCAUUCAUCCGUAUAUACUCCUGGAAAUACUGCUGAGGUAAAGGGUUGGUGGAGAAGGAGGUACAAGGAAAGCUGGGAUCGAUGGGAACAGAGCUUUCUUAUUCACAGUUACGACCACCACCACUCCAGGCUGUAAAAAGUCUAGGUGACAAACAACUUCCAGAGAACGUACACAUACACCAACACGCAAAUGUUGGGCCACAUCCAAGCCUCUGAGGUCAGGGCAUUAGGCAAGGUGAAUUUCAGGAGAUUCCUUGACUGCCGAGUUCCUGGCACAGACUCAUUCUCACUGAGACGCUAGAGUAGCAAGCGGAGUCUGGACAGGGGGUGGGAGCAGGUGUGGAAAAGGGAGUGAGGAAAAGGUUGGGGGCGGGGGCUGGGAGGCCAAGAGGGGAGGGGCCCAGCCUGCGAUUCCUGAUGCCUCCUGCAUGUGUUCACCUGGCA